GGAGUUUGAUGGUCCUGGCUUGUUAUGGGAGGCUUUUGCAGAGCCUGAGUUUGGGAGCCCUACACAAGCCCGGUUCGGUGAUCUCUUGGAGUGGAGGGAGAGCAGGUAUGACUAGGACGACACUCACGAAAUUGAGCAAGACCUGGCUCACCUAGCAACCCGGGAGUGGGAACUGGAGCAGGACUACCGAGAUCUCUUCCACUCCAUUGAGAAGAUUCAGCAGGACAGCAAGG
Non-coding RNA from Pelobates cultripes (western spadefoot toad), 233 nucleotides. NCBI's taxonomy places the organism in Eukaryota, Metazoa, Chordata, Amphibia, Anura, Pelobatidae. The record is from the annotation of a GenBank genome assembly.